RNAcentral lists this long non-coding RNA (562 nucleotides) under Elaeis guineensis (African oil palm). RNAcentral's name for it is "long non-coding RNA (EGUI_LNC036728)". Lineage: Eukaryota; Viridiplantae; Streptophyta; Magnoliopsida; Arecales; Arecaceae. The record is from RNAcentral.
CCCAAAGUUAGUUGCGAAGCCCUUCCUCUAGCACCAAGUGUUGCUCCUAAUCUCCGUGUCUAAGGUCGGACAGCUGACAUGAAGAUGGCCGAAGUAAUGCUGUUGCUGGAGCUUCACCUGAGUACCUACAAAAAGUCCUCACCGGGGUGCUCUCCGGUGAAGACCCUCUAACGCUCAAGUCAAGAGAUGGAGAAUAAUGAGAAGAGAGAGUAGGAGUAGAAAACUUGCUUUAGGAGAGAGACGGACUCUACCUCGGAAGACCGUAGCUCGAACAUGGAUGACCUAAAAUAGCUCGAUAUGGUGUGUUCAGCAACCUUCGGAUCUAUUACAUAUACGCAAUCUGAUUAGUGCCUAUCUUCCGUAGUUUGACCGUGUCGAGGAUGCAUCUAGUUGAGGCCGAGGUAAAAAUCUCAAAUAAUUAUUUUCUCAAAAAAAAAUUAUUAUUAUUAUUAAACUAUCCUUGAAUAAAUACAGCCAUAGAAAUUAGAAAAUAAAAUGUUGGAAAAUUCAAUAGAAAUAUCUGUCAAAGGUGUCCGGGAGCGUAAAUCCAGUAUGAAUGGGC